This 180-nucleotide non-coding RNA is filed under the name Nitrospirota bacterium. Its description in RNAcentral is "Nitrospirae bacterium (sediment metagenome) 6S RNA". It matches the Rfam family "6S / SsrS RNA". From Rfam's summary of the family: E. coli 6S RNA was the first non coding RNA to be sequenced, but its function was unknown until recently. The record is from RNAcentral. Lineage: Bacteria; Pseudomonadati; Nitrospirota.
AUAUCCCUGCCCUGUUAGUGAUUAGGGGUUAAUGUUGAUCUCUCGAAUUGGACCUUUAGGGAGCCGACGUAAAGCAUACGGUGAGCAAAUCUCCUUAGGGAGAGAGCCUAAGUUGCUUUCAAGGCACCCACUUUGACUGAUAGAGAUCUGAUUGCGCCUACACGGCAGGGUGGGUUUAAA